Long non-coding RNA from Bombus pascuorum, 428 nucleotides. RefSeq lists it as uncharacterized. NCBI's taxonomy places the organism in Eukaryota, Metazoa, Arthropoda, Insecta, Hymenoptera, Apidae. The transcript has 2 exons. The record is from RefSeq and is a predicted model, not a curated record.
AGCCUGGAGGAUGGGCCAUACAUAACUUGACUACUGUUCUCUGGAUCUUAAUUAUAGACAUAUUAUUAUUUUAGGAAGAAUUUCUAAGAAGAUAAUAUGUAAUAAUACAUGAAACGUUUACAAGCGAGCAUCUUAAAGUAGAUAAGAUAAAAAUAUGAUAUAAGAGUAACAGCACACAAUAAGAAAAACAUUUCAUCGAGAUAUGAAAAUUAUUAAUGUAUGAAUUAAAAGCUUACCAAUAUCUUCAUUAUUGGGAUCAUCGAUACUAUGGUAACUAGAAAUUGAUCCCGUGCUAAAAUAAGUUGACUUUGCGGAUGUCGCAGAGUAGAAACUGUCUAGCCUCUGUCUUCUCUCAGCUUCUGUUUCCAGAGUGAUAUUAUCGCUUAUUAUUUCGUUAUCGUCACAGCUAUCAAAAGAUCCAUCAAAAA